UUCCAGACUCCUACGGGAGGCAGCAGUGAGGAAUAUUGGUCAAUGGGCGGGAGCCUGAACCAGCCAAGCCGCGUGAAGGAAGAAGGCGCCAGGCGUCGUAAACUUCUUUUGUCGGGGAACAAAGGGCGCCACGUGUGGCGUUGUGAGUGUACCCGAAGAAAAAGCAUCGGCUAACUCCGUGCCAGCAGCCGCGGUAAUACGGAGGAUGCGAGCGUUAUCCGGAUUUAUUGGGUUUAAAGGGUGCGCAGGCGGAAGAUCAAGUCAGCGGUAAAAUUGAGAGGCUCAACCUCUUCGAGCCGUUGAAACUGGUUUUCUUGAGUGAGUGAGAAGUAUGCGGAAUGCGUGGUGUAGCGGUGAAAUGCAUAGAUAUCACGCAGAACUCCGAUUGCGAAGGCAGCAUACCGGCGCUCAACUGACGCUCAUGCACGAAAGUGUGGGUAUCGAACAGGAUUAGAUACCCUUGUAAAG
Molecule: ribosomal RNA, 468 nt
Filed under: uncultured bacterium
Lineage: Bacteria
Description: bacterial SSU rRNA
Rfam family: Bacterial small subunit ribosomal RNA
Source: RNAcentral